CAGUCGCCGCGGUAAUACGUAGGUCCCGAGCGUUGUCCGGAUUUAUUGGGCGUAAAGCGAGCGCAGGCGGUUAGAUAAGUCUGAAGUUAAAGGCUGUGGCUUAACCAUAGUACGCUUUGGAAACUGUUUAACUUGAGUGCAAGAGGGGAGAGUGGAAUUCCAUGUGUAGCGGUGAAAUGCGUAGAUAUAUGGAGGAACACCGGUGGCGAAAGCGGCUCUCUGGCUUGUAACUGACGCUGAGGCUCGAAAGCGUGGGGAGUAAACAGGAUUAGAUACCCCCGUAGUCCCUGUCUCUUAUACA
RNAcentral lists this ribosomal RNA (301 nucleotides) under uncultured bacterium. RNAcentral's name for it is "partial 16S ribosomal RNA". It matches the Rfam family "Bacterial small subunit ribosomal RNA", at positions 509 to 808 of the family's 1533-position model. The record is from RNAcentral.